AAACAACACUGCAAGAAUCAACUCUCUUUCAUACCCUCAUAACUGUAAACCUACUUUUGCCCCACCUAUAUAUCAUCAAGUAUUAUGACUACAUAAAUGUAAAAGUAUAUAAAAAGUAUGUAAAAUAUCAAUAUAUGUACAUAUAUAUACCUAUAUAUGCAAUUGUGUGUAUGAGUGAAUACACACAGGCAUGAAUGCACAAAUUAUUUACUGUGCAAGAGAUUCACAUACAUUAUAUAAUUUACUCCUCAAAAAAUAUUACAAAAAUAUCAAAAACUCUGUUUUUUAAAAAGAGAAGAUGGAGUUCGGUACUUUUAUCCAUGAAUGAGAGACAACAGAACACUAAGUUUUUCAGAGCACGGGCUCUGGAGCCAAGCAACCUGGACCCAGAUCCAGCUCUACCGCCUCCUGUAUAAAAUGGGGAUAAAAA
Long non-coding RNA from Phyllostomus discolor (pale spear-nosed bat), 430 nucleotides. RefSeq lists it as uncharacterized. The transcript is spliced from 3 exons. Lineage: Eukaryota; Metazoa; Chordata; Mammalia; Chiroptera; Phyllostomidae. The record is from RefSeq and is a predicted model, not a curated record.